AAUAAAAAAAGAACAGAGAGCCUUCAUCUCCUUUUGGCCCCCUAAACUCCGAAGCCAACUUCAACGGCGAUCCGCCGUGUGGCCACCGCGGCCAAAGGCCCUUUUGCCCGUGUGCCAAAAUAAACCCGAAGGUACGGAUUUUCGAUCCUUAAAACCGAAAAGAAAGGCCCCUACCCCCCUUUUUCGAUUCAAAUCCGGCGACGGCCAAAAUGGUGGGACAACGGGGUGAUUCAGGUGCAAGUGGCCGACGUGACAGUGGCGGGUGGAGUAGGUGACGCGGCGUCAGUAGCAGGUGGCGGCCAGGAGCAGGUGCGGCGCUAGGGUUUCAGUCUCUGAAACCCUAGUCUGACCUGAGUUGGUAGAUUGGGCUGGUGGGUUAGUUUUAGUUUGGGUUGGUUUUGGGUAAUGGGCUAGUGGGCUUAUUUGUUUUAUUUUCUUUGGUGGGCUGGCAAUUUGUGGUUCUGGGCCCUGGGCAAAUUUGGGCUUGUACAGUAAUAGUCACCAAACCAGAUUUCGAGAUUUAUCUGGAAUAACUAGACCCCUGAUCAACCUCAAGAUAAAUGCGCGCGCGAAUUGUACUUUUUCAAUGUCAAUCGCAAAGGCCUCUAUAUGCUUGAAGUUGUCCUCAACCAUCCCAUCUCGAUCCGAAUACCCCUAAACUUGUUUGGCACCUUCCCUAGUAGUUGCUUGCAUGUUGCACUCCAAUCGACACUCGGCACUAGCCCUGUAAUGACUUCCCCAUCAACCGGUAGACCAAGUUGUAAACCAAUAUCCUCAAGUGUAAUUGUACACUCACUACAAGGAAGAUAGAAUGUGUGUA
Long non-coding RNA from Gossypium raimondii (Peruvian cotton), 820 nucleotides. RefSeq lists it as uncharacterized. Lineage: Eukaryota; Viridiplantae; Streptophyta; Magnoliopsida; Malvales; Malvaceae. The record is from RefSeq and is a predicted model, not a curated record. The transcript is spliced from 2 exons.